RNAcentral lists this long non-coding RNA (418 nucleotides) under Mytilus galloprovincialis (Mediterranean mussel). The record is from RNAcentral. Lineage: Eukaryota; Metazoa; Mollusca; Bivalvia; Mytilida; Mytilidae.
UUUUUUUCCCAAUAUAUAAUGAUAUUUAAUUAUCACUGUGUUCUUAAAUAUAUAUUACUUUGAUCUUUUUGUGUAAUAAUUUUCCAUAUCAAGCUAUUUGAUUGAGAGGGAUUUUUCUCCGUUGAGUAGCAUGAGAACAGGAUUAAGUUAUAUGCUAAUUAAUGUCAUUGAUGAUGCCCAGAAAAAUAGCAAUAAACAGUUAUACUAUUGUCUUUAAACUCUAUGAAGUUUCUCAGCUACAUCUCAUCUCAGGGCUUUCACCAUUUGGUGAGAUUCUAACAGAUUAUGAGUGAGCAAACAAUCUGAUUUUUUUAUAAGGUUCGAAGACACAUUGUCAAAUUUGUUUUCAUCAAUGCAAACACUUUAAAUCUGUUUUAUGAAAAUAUUGUAUUGAAUUUGUGAAGUAAAUGUCCUGGCC